GUCUUCUCCUUGAGUUCCUCUCUGUCAUUUGGUGGCAGCUUUGGAUUUGCAUGAGAGGAAAUGGCAAUUCACAGAUGCAGUAGUACUUGACCUUCUGUCCUCCCACGAAAGUCUGUUCGGCUAUUUGGCGAGACAUUC
Ochotona princeps (American pika) is the source of this 138-nucleotide small nucleolar RNA. Its record names the gene SNORA75. It matches the Rfam family "Small nucleolar RNA SNORA75". From Rfam's summary of the family: U23 belongs to the H/ACA class of snoRNAs. snoRNAs bind a number of proteins (including dyskerin, Gar1p and Nop10p in the case of the H/ACA class) to form snoRNP complexes. Lineage: Eukaryota; Metazoa; Chordata; Mammalia; Lagomorpha; Ochotonidae. The record is from Ensembl.